GGGUCGUUAGCUCAGUCGGUAGAGCAGCUGACUUUUAAUCAGCGGGUCGCAGGUUCGAGCCCUGCACGACCCACCA
This 76-nucleotide transfer RNA is filed under the name Trueperaceae bacterium. Its description in RNAcentral is "tRNA-Lys". It matches the Rfam family "tRNA". From Rfam's summary of the family: Transfer RNA (tRNA) molecules are approximately 80 nucleotides in length. Their secondary structure includes four short double-helical elements and three loops (D, anti-codon, and T loops). Lineage: Bacteria; Thermotogati; Deinococcota; Deinococci; Trueperales; Trueperaceae. The record is from RNAcentral.